Non-coding RNA from Taeniopygia guttata (zebra finch), 4281 nucleotides. NCBI's taxonomy places the organism in Eukaryota, Metazoa, Chordata, Aves, Passeriformes, Estrildidae. The record is from RefSeq and is a predicted model, not a curated record.
AAAUGUUGACUAGUUUGGGAAUUAAUUUCGACUGUGUGAUUGCAAUUUAAUUUUUUUAGUGGGGUUGUCCCUUAGCCAUAUUUUAGGACACUUUGUGUAAUGUGUAGUCUUACUGCAGGGGCUUAAAAAUACAGCAGAUAACUGUAUUAUGUGUAUAUCAUGAACCUUUCCAUUAUCAAGUCUUUAUUUUAUGCUAUUAAUGAUAAUUUUGGAUUACCAGCUCUGUUGGGAUAUUUUUGGAAUGCAAACUGACAGCUUCUUGCAGGAUGUCUAAAAGACCUAGGGGAAGUAGGCAAAUUUCUUUAUGUGAAACGUAAGCUUGUUUGUGAUAAUGAACUUUACUGAAAUUUUGUGCUUUUACCUUCAAGAGUCUAUCAUAAGCUUAGGAGUCUGUUAUUUUUGACUGUAGCUCCUUUUAAAAAGGACAGCAGGUCCUUUUUAAAGCGGCAGUGUCUGGUGGUAUGAAGUUCUGCUGAGUUUCCAAUUCUAGAUAUUUUAAUCACUUCACCAGUUUAUAUACUCACUGUGGAUGAAAGAUGUCUUGGCUGAGACAUGCUGAUGAAUAUGAAAGAAAGUGUAGUGUGCUUAGUCACAGAAGGGUUUGUGUGGGUUUUCAGUAGUACUCUAAACAGAUGUGAGCUGAAGUUAAGGGAGAAAUAAACAACUGUUUUGAUUUCUCUUCCUCCUCUCUGAUUCACCCACUAGAGGUGAACCUCCCACCUCACUUUAUGGUUCUUUUUGAACACUGCCAUCCUCACAUGCAUUACUAUGGAUGCUACAUACCUGCUGGCAGGAGACCUGGAAUGGUGACUUAAAAAAUUGAAGCAGUUUAGCUGUUACACAGCUCUGUUCCCGGUAGAUACCAAGGUGGUUUGAAGAAAAACCACAAUACUUGUUUUACUGCUGAGAAGACAAAGUAAGAGGUAUAAAGCAGUUAUACCAAAUUCAUCUAGGAAGUCAGUGGCAAAAAGGGGUAUAAAACCCACUGCCUACUCCAUUACUAUGUUUGUCUUACAUCUUUGAAGGAAUGAAGGACAGAAGAAGAGGUGUUCUUGCUGAAAACCACAGGUUGGCCUGAAUUGGCAGGUGUUUUCCAUCUCUGUCAGGGAGAGACAGCCAUUCCUCCUCUCCUAGGCUUUCUCUUUGGAGGUAGCAUAUUACUUUUGGUAUGUAUAGGAAACAUAUUAGGCUAAGUAAGAAGGUCAGCUAAUUCUCCUAAAAGUGGUUGUCAGCAUAAGUAUUCAGUCAUGACCAGAAGUAUCUGCUGCAGGUAAAAUUUUAGCUGGCAACUAGGCUGGUGAUGCCCCCUUGAGGCAGGGGAAGGGUUCAGUGCUGAGCACAGAACAGUUCUACUGAGUUCAUCUUUGCAGUCAGAAGCACUCAGUUGUGGACCACUGUGUAUCAGAGGAUGCUUGAAUUGUGCCCUGGGUGAUAUGCAGUGUAUGAUGUACCAGGCCGUGUAAUAGCUGAAGAUGCAUUGUAUCCAAGGUCUAGGAAAAUAAACUUUACAUCUGGUGUCACCUGAAUUGGAUUCCGCUUUUCUGAGGAGCUAGAUUUUGGUGGAAUGUCGUGAUGUGCUUCUGGUUAUAAAUACUUACAAAAAGAUGUUCGCAAACAUGAGGAGGAGCCAGAAGAAUAGAAGGAAACAUGGCUAGAAUCCAAGGCGAGAUUGGCAAAGCAAGCUGAUGGCAGCAGAAGAGAAGAAUAGAAAGGGAAGGAUCAUCUGCUGAAGGUGUGGAAAACCAGCCUUCACAACUCAAAUGUGGUGGUACCAAGGCGUGUGUUUUUGGUUGGGUUUUUUUUUGUGACUGGAAGAGAAACAGUUGAGCUUCAGAUUCUGCUGAGAGAGGACAAUAUGAAGCUGCAGAGAAAAGAAAAAAUGACUUGAGAAACUGAAAUGGAAGAUGAAGCAUAGCCAAUAAAUAUGUACAUGUACAUCAAAGAGAAAUGGAAAAUGCAGUUCACUCGGUGUGCUGUGUGUUUGCUGCAUUUGGCAGUGCACACAGAAAAGGAGGACAAGUAACCUGGCUUAAACUGCAAGUCAUAAAAACUUAACUUCCAAAGACUUUCCCUGUUUUAAAGAACAGCAAGUUGUUUUUAUUUUCUAUUUCUUUUACGCUUCCUUAACUUCCCUUUGCUGAAUUUCUAUUGUCUUCUCACUGUCAAAAGGCAGAUAUUUACACAAUUUUUGUUUGGUCAUGCUGUAUAAAAAUACUGGCAUUUUAAAGAAAAAUGGCAGCUUAGGGGGUACACAAAUAUCUUGCAGCUCCUUUCAAUAGGCUUUCAUUCUGGUAUAAAGGUAAUAUGCUUUGCUAUGUUUCCAAGAGUCCCCUACCACUCAAGAGUAGUGAUAACAGAUAUGUGACAGUGCAAUUGGCAUCAAACCUGCCCAGGUCGAGUGAACCUGUAUUGUUAAGUAUACUGUACUAAUCAAAUAAAUGCUGGACAGAUUGCUUUAAUAUUUUGUCAUCAUCUGUUACUGGCACUUCAAUUUUAUUUUACACUUUUAUUGUUAACCUUGAAUAUGUGGAGGAAUCUUAUCUUGAGAAUCAGGGGUUUCUUCUGCAGGGGUACAUGAAAGCUAUGCUAAGUAUUCUUACCCCAAUGCUUUCAGCAGCUGGGAGGAGUAUCCCUUUUGGCAUGAAUUCUUUCUUUUUCCAUUCCUUGUUUCAGAAAAGUACUGAAAUAUUUGUGUGUGUUAUGCUUCCAGUAUGGAUUACCAGCUUCUCAGGUUUCAUGCACUAUUCACUUUUUAACUGGGUGAUUUCUGGGUUCAUUAAAUAAAUUUCUGGAAUCCCAGAGUUCUGCUGUAAUAUCAGGUAUUUUUUAGCAAAGAAAUUACUGAAGACUACUAUUUCAGAACUAUUUCACCAAUUACUGAAAUUUCAGACUCUCAUCUGAGAGCAUAAUCCUGUCACAGCAUAGCAUUUACAGGCCAAUCUCACUUUCAAUGAGAUUAUCGUGUUGGUAUCAACAGGCUUUAGAAUUCAUUGUGAUUGAAACUGAAAGAUGGGAUUUGUCUGCUGUAUUUGAGAUGACUGAGAGUUAAAAAGUCUGAGAUAGAACCAUUCAUCCUAAACUUUCUAGUCUGAAAGAAGCCAGUGUCUACUGCAAUACCUGCACUACAGAAAUGAAAUAAGGCAAAACCGACAAAUAAACUGAAUUAUAUUUAUUGGAUAUGUUAGUUAAAGCUAAGCUUUAUAAAAUUUAACAUGUUUGAUAAUUAUAGCAAGUAAAAGUAAAGCAAAAUUUUUUUCUUAUGAUCAGUUAUGUUUCUACUUAUCCUUUUUAUUUUGGGCUGGAGAUCUAAAUUCUCUCCCCCAUCUUGCCUUCAUUGAAAAAUAGCUUGUGUUCAUCUCACACUUCAUUUUUUUAAUCCCUGUUCCUUUUAUACUUCAUUAAUACCUGGGUUUGUUUUGGUUUUAGUAAUUUUCUUGAUACACUGAUACCAACUAGAAAGAAACUGCAAAAUAACAUUUUCUUUUGUUAUUUGUAUUAUAGAUGAUGGCAACAACAUGUAGCUUCAUAGAAGGUUAUAUAGCUAAUUGGAUAAUUUAGAAGUGACUAGGGAAAAUUGCUUUACAUCUUCAAUAUGAAAUUAAAGUAUUAGUAAACAAAACUUCGGCAGGUCUGUGGAAAGUUUUUCAGUUCCUGUUUUGAGUGUAUAUGUAAAGAAAAAUGACUUGGAGAUCACCACUGAAAUAGACGGGAGUUUAGCAGGAGGUUCAGUGUGCUAAUCUUAUGUGUGUUAGAAAAUUAGAAUUACGAUACAAAUUCCCUGCUAUUAAUUAGGAAACAAAAUUAUAAUGUAAAACAAUUUUACAAAUGAUCAGUUCAAACUGUUGUUGCCUUUUUUUAAGGAAUCUGUACUCCUUAAAAUUAACAGGAUUUAUUCAGGGUUUUAGUUCUUUUGAAGAAUCUUCUUUUUAAAUUGGAUACAAAUUGAUUGAAUUUAUCAAGUAGCAGGGUUGGGUCAUAUCUGCUGAUAAUCCUUUCAGAGACAUAAAGUGUUUUUGAGUGGGGAGAGAAAAAGAAUUGGUUUUCUUGAUUUCUGGCAGAUAUGAUAUUAAUUUAAACUGCGUCUUAGUUUUUUAAUUUUUAAAAUUUCAUGGUCAGUUUUCUGUUUAGUUGCUUUUCUGAAUAUAAUAGCUAGACAUGGGGUGAGAACCAAAAGUAUAUUUUUACAGGAACAUUUUUUUCUACAUUUAAUAUGAAAAACAUUGUGUUUGUUAUAGUUGGAGAUCGUUAUUAACUGUAAUAAACAUCAUGCAUUUAAUAACA